UUCCUGCCGGAGUGGUACCUGUUUGAUGUGCUUUUGAACUGCUAGGUGGGCAGGAGCUGGGACCGAACAACAGGAGCUCACCCAAUGGGGGGUUUUGAACCGCUGACCUUCUGAUCAGCAAGCCCUAGGCUCAGUGGUUUAGACCACAGCGCCACUGCCAGGCCUAUGCAGGCAAUUAAGAGUCUGCCCCCCACAAUGGUCUAUUGAAGUUUGUUUUUAACCUUUCAUUAUGUUUUAUGGUACAGUAUAUACUGAUAAGGGAUUUUUAAAAUAUACUGAUAAGGGAUUUUUAAACUAACUUGUUUUUUCUUGGGUUGUAAAUACUUCCCUUAGCACCUAGCUAGUGCUGCUUGCUGCGAAACUUUCUGUCCACACAGCCUGAUUGGUAGAUGCUAGGCACAGACUAUCAGGAAUUUGUUCUGUACAUCACCUAGUAAAGCAAGUCCAUUCUACUUUACAGAAGUUUUGUGUGUGUUGUGAAUGUGGAAUGUCUAUGUACAGCUGGUUGGACAAUUAUUGUUUUUUUAAAAAAAGUAUAAUAAAAUUUAGGUUAUGAAAUUUACACUUAAAAUUAUUUGAACAUAAUCAUAUAUGCCCAUUUCUUUUCGUUUGAAGAAGACAAAUAGGGUUUACAUUUCAAAGGAGGGUUAAUUGACUAGGAAUGCAUUAAUGUCUUGCUUUCAUGCAGUGGCAUUUUUUUUUGCAGAUUUCUGUAACAAGCUACUCUCAUUCAUAGCUACAGCUUAGGUACUUGUAAAACCACUCUACAAACGUAACAAAUGUUUUAGGUCACUGUGCUGUCUUUGGAAUUGUGCAUAUUUUAGAUGUAUAGCCUGUGAUCACACUUUUUUGUAUUGAUGCUGAUGAGCAAGACAAGCUUAUUAACUUGUAAAGCAUAAAAAAUACUUGUUUUAAAAAAGUAAGUGACUUUUAUUUCCUGUUUACAUAGAGCAUAUUUCAGAAGAGUAGGCAUGUUAUUCUGCAGACAAAAACCAAUACGGUACCUUUGGAGUUGGUGAUUUCUUGUAAUAAGAUGCUCCAUAGGCCCUGCUGUUUAUGAGCUUUCACAGGAUCAGAACAGAAAAUAAUGUAAGUGCCAAUAGUCUGUUUGGCCACCAGAGGUCUCCUGUUCCCUUCUGUAGAAAACUAUAAAACUGGAGAACAUCAUUCAGAUUUCGUCCUAUGC
Non-coding RNA from Podarcis lilfordi (Lilford's wall lizard), 1186 nucleotides. Lineage: Eukaryota; Metazoa; Chordata; Lepidosauria; Squamata; Lacertidae. The record is from the annotation of a GenBank genome assembly.